Molecule: ribosomal RNA, 464 nt
Filed under: Vreelandella stevensii
Lineage: Bacteria; Pseudomonadati; Pseudomonadota; Gammaproteobacteria; Oceanospirillales; Halomonadaceae
Description: partial 16S ribosomal RNA
Rfam family: Bacterial small subunit ribosomal RNA
Source: RNAcentral
CCUACGGGUGGCUGCAGUGGGGAAUAUUGGACAAUGGGGGCAACCCUGAUCCAGCCAUGCCGCGUGUGUGAAGAAGGCCCUCGGGUUGUAAAGCACUUUCAGUGAGGAAGAACGCCUGGUGGUUAAUACCCAUCAGGAAAGACAUCACUCACAGAAGAAGCACCGGCUAACUCCGUGCCAGCAGCCGCGGUAAUACGGAGGGUGCGAGCGUUAAUCGGAAUUACUGGGCGUAAAGCGCGCGUAGGUGGCUUGAUAAGCCGGUUGUGAAAGCCCCGGGCUCAACCUGGGAACGGCAUCCGGAACUGUCAAGCUAGAGUGCAGGAGAGGAAGGUAGAAUUCCCGGUGUAGCGGUGAAAUGCGUAGAGAUCGGGAGGAAUACCAGUGGCGAAGGCGGCCUUCUGGACUGACACUGACACUGAGGUGCGAAAGCGUGGGUAGCAAACAGGAUUAGAUACCCUAGUAGU